This 425-nucleotide ribosomal RNA is filed under the name uncultured bacterium. RNAcentral's name for it is "partial 16S ribosomal RNA". It matches the Rfam family "Bacterial small subunit ribosomal RNA", at positions 354 to 796 of the family's 1533-position model. The record is from RNAcentral.
GUGGGGAAUAUUGGACAAUGGGCGCAAGCCUGAUCCAGCCAUGCCGCGUGAGUGAUGAAGGCCCUAGGGUUGUAAAGCUCUUUCACCGGUGAAGAUAAUGACGGUAACCGGAGAAGAAGCCCCGGCUAACUUCGUGCCAGCAGCCGCGGUAAUACGAAGGGGGCUAGCGUUGUUCGGAAUUACUGGGCGUAAAGCGCACGUAGGCGGAUUUUUAAGUUAGGGGUGAAAUCCCAGGGCUCAACCCUGGAACUGCCUCUAAUACUGGGUAUCUCGAGUCCGAGAGAGGUGAGUGGAAUUCCGAGUGUAGAGGUGAAAUUCGUAGAUAUUCGGAGGAACACCAGUGGCGAAGGCGGCUCACUGGCUCGGUACUGACGCUGAGGUGCGAAAGCGUGGGGAGCAAACAGGAUUAGAUACCCGGGUAGUCC